GCCGAGCCCAAUAGCGUUGGCUUGUAACCCAAGCGGGGGCAUAAGGGUGGUGGGAUGGCGUGUUGGGCGCGAGCGGGUUGGGUGUACGUUCAAGAACUCGGCUUGCCCAUUCCAAGUCAAGUAGAUGAGCCAUAUGAUCUGGGCGAAAGCCUGAGUCACACGGGAUCCUAAAGCGGAGGACACCGCGUCAGGCUGGCUUCACAGAGCAGCGACCACCUCCCGCUCUUAACGGUGGAAGGAUAACAGGCCGUCGUACGCCACACCCAACAUGCCCACCGAGCUUACACUGACCAAACCAUCCCUCUU
RNAcentral lists this signal recognition particle RNA (306 nucleotides) under Musa acuminata subsp. malaccensis (wild Malaysian banana). Its description in RNAcentral is "Plant signal recognition particle RNA". It matches the Rfam family "Plant signal recognition particle RNA". The record is from Rfam by way of RNAcentral. Lineage: Eukaryota; Viridiplantae; Streptophyta; Magnoliopsida; Zingiberales; Musaceae.